UAUAUAUCUGAAACAGAGUUUUCAAUAUGUU
Mus musculus (house mouse) is the source of this 31-nucleotide non-coding RNA. NCBI's taxonomy places the organism in Eukaryota, Metazoa, Chordata, Mammalia, Rodentia, Muridae. The record is from Rfam.